AGAGGAAGCAUUCUAUUAACUCCACUAUCUACACCUCUUUUAUUUCCCCUGCUAAUCAGCGUCUUUUCAGUUUGCGGAAAAUUGAUUCUGGACAUUUUAUGAGUCCACAUCCAUAAACUGCAGCUCAGAUGAGGCCAGAAUGUCAUUAUGCACACAUUGGCUUCUGCCUCUUUACUCCAACACCCUCAGCAGCCGGAAGCUAAGAAGCAACAGCAGGUUCGGGUGAGAAUACAGACUGGAUUGAGG
Molecule: long non-coding RNA, 246 nt
Organism: Anguilla anguilla (European eel)
Lineage: Eukaryota; Metazoa; Chordata; Actinopteri; Anguilliformes; Anguillidae
Exons: 3
Source: RefSeq, a predicted model, not a curated record